Molecule: RNase P RNA, 441 nt
Filed under: Micromonospora sp. HM5-17
Lineage: Bacteria; Bacillati; Actinomycetota; Actinomycetes; Micromonosporales; Micromonosporaceae
Description: Bacterial RNase P class A
Rfam family: Bacterial RNase P class A
About the family: Ribonuclease P (RNase P) is a ubiquitous endoribonuclease, found in archaea, bacteria and eukarya as well as chloroplasts and mitochondria. Its best characterised activity is the generation of mature 5'-ends of tRNAs by cleaving the 5'-leader elements of precursor-tRNAs.
Source: Rfam by way of RNAcentral
CGAGCCGACCGGGCGGUCGCGUCGCCGGGCCCCGCGUCCGGCGCCGAGGAACGUCCGGACUCCACAGGGCAGGGUGGUUGCUAACGGCAACCCGGGGUGACCCGCGGGACAGUGCCACAGAAAACAGACCGCCGGAGCGGCCGGUACGAGCCCUCGGGCGCGGACUGUCCGGUUCCGGUAAGGGUGAAACGGUGGGGUAAGAGCCCACCAGCAUCUCGGGUGACCGGGAUGGCUCGGCAAACCCCACCCGGAGCAAGGCCAAGAAGGGCCGCCGCCGCAGGGCGACGGCCUGCGCAGGCGUUUGAGGGUGGCCCGCCCGAGCCUGCGGGUAGGCCGCUGGAGCCUGUCGGCAACGGCAGGCCGAGAUGGAUGACCGCCGCCGGCGCCACCGGCAACGGUGCGCGCCGGGCACAGAAUCCGGCGUACAGGUCGACUCGUCCG